AUGGCCGCGGUUCGACACGCAAUGAGGAGGCUCGGCGGCUCCCUGCUCUGGCCAACGGCCACCUCACCGGCAGCGGCGGCGCCAAGGCGGCUCACGCACAGCGAAAGCUUGGCCUCGGAGCAAGCUCGUCACGAGGAGGUGCUGCGCAAGGUCCAGCAGAAGACGGACGAGCUGUACGAUGUGUUGUGCGAGGCGGAGCGGGACUUCUGCACGAGCAGCUGGCGCAACACGCGCAUGCUCCAGCACCUCUCCAUGAGGGUCACGCCGAGGCCGUGGGACUGGAGGUGGCGCAUCCGGCGCUUCAACAGAAGGUUUCACAAUGUGGCAGAGCUUGCCGGGUUUAUCUCGCUCUACUUCGGCUUGGAGGUGCUGAAACAAGAAGUCGAGGAAAAGGAAAAGCAUGCGGCCGAGGCAACGACGGUGUCCUGCCCGAUCGACUGA
Molecule: ribosomal RNA, 441 nt
Filed under: Triticum aestivum (bread wheat)
Lineage: Eukaryota; Viridiplantae; Streptophyta; Magnoliopsida; Poales; Poaceae
Description: partial small subunit ribosomal RNA
Source: RNAcentral